GAGGGGCAAGCGUUGUUCGGAAUUACUGGGCGUAAAGGGCGCGUAGGCGGCGUGCUAAGUCGAACGUGAAAUCCCCGGGCUCAACCCGGGAACUGCGUCCGAGACUGGCAUGCUUGAAUCCGGGAGAGGGAUGUGGAAUUCCAGGUGUAGCGGUGAAAUGCGUAGAUAUCUGGAGGAACAUCGGUGGCGAAGGCGGCAUCCUGGACCGGUAUUGACGCUGAGGCGCGAAAGCCAGGGGAGCAAACGGGAUUAGAUACCCCGGUAGUCCUGGCCCUAAACGAUGAAUACUUGGUGUGGCGGGUAUCGAUCCCUGCCGUGCCGAAGCUAACGCAUUAAGUAUUCCGCCUGGGGAGUACGGUCGCAAGGCUG
RNAcentral lists this ribosomal RNA (369 nucleotides) under uncultured organism. Its description in RNAcentral is "bacterial SSU rRNA". It matches the Rfam family "Bacterial small subunit ribosomal RNA", at positions 529 to 896 of the family's 1533-position model. The record is from RNAcentral.